This 229-nucleotide unclassified non-coding RNA is filed under the name plant metagenome. RNAcentral describes it as "partial contains small subunit ribosomal RNA, internal transcribed spacer 1, and 5.8S ribosomal RNA". The record is from RNAcentral.
UCUCCGUAGGUGAACCUGCGGAGGGAUCAUUACAGAGUUCUCGCCCUCGCGGGUAGAUCUCCCGCCCACUGUUAUCGUUACUGUGUUGCUUUGGCGGGCCGCCGGGCCCCGCUCGGCCGCUGGCUCCGGCUGGCGCGCGCCCGCCAGAGGCCCAGCAAACUCUGAAUGUUAGUGUCGUCUGAGUACUAUAUAAUAGUUAAAACUUUCAACAACGGAUCUCUUGGUUCUG